AAUAUUUGUCUUGUUCUCAAUGAUCCAAUAAUCACUUAGCAUUUUACUAUUAAAAUGAAAUACAAAAUAUUUGAAGAAUAAAAAUGCUUCUUGUUUUGUUUCUUAGAUAUUUGAGUUUUUGUUUCAAUAAUCAAUAUUCUUUCAAUAGUAAUCAGAUAUGGAAUGCAAUAAAAGUGAAUGGUGUUGGCGUUUUACUUUCUUUUUUAAUUUUAAUGACAAUGUAGCAUGACAUAGAUGCAAUAUGGAAUAAAAAAGGGCUUACAAAUGA
Non-coding RNA from Biomphalaria pfeifferi, 268 nucleotides. NCBI's taxonomy places the organism in Eukaryota, Metazoa, Mollusca, Gastropoda, Planorbidae. The record is from the annotation of a GenBank genome assembly.